GUGAAUCAUCAAAUCUUUGAACGCAAAUUGCACUCUCUGGUAUUCCGGAGAGUAUGCCUGUUUGAGGGUCAGUUUAAAUAAAAAUCGGUGUGGUUGCUGCCUUUCGUGGUGACGCACCGGAUGUGGGUCGUCUUGCCUUCGGUUAAGUGACCUAAAAUUUUGCAUGAUUUUUUUGGAAGGUUUUUAAUUAUUUUACGUACGUUUUCGAUAAUGAAUU
This 217-nucleotide unclassified non-coding RNA is filed under the name Glomeraceae sp. RNAcentral's name for it is "partial contains 5.8S ribosomal RNA and internal transcribed spacer 2". The stretch from base 1 to 71 matches the Rfam family "5.8S ribosomal RNA", at positions 84 to 154 of the family's 154-position model. The record is from RNAcentral. Lineage: Eukaryota; Fungi; Glomeromycota; Glomeromycetes; Glomerales; Glomeraceae.